CCCUUUGUAGCUCAAUGGAUAGAGCGGCUCCGUCCUAAGGAGACGAUGGGGGUUCGAUUCCCUCCGAGGGGACCA
Molecule: transfer RNA, 75 nt
Filed under: bacterium
Lineage: Bacteria
Description: tRNA-Arg
Rfam family: tRNA
About the family: Transfer RNA (tRNA) molecules are approximately 80 nucleotides in length. Their secondary structure includes four short double-helical elements and three loops (D, anti-codon, and T loops). Further hydrogen bonds mediate the characteristic L-shaped molecular structure. tRNAs have two regions of fundamental functional importance: the anti-codon, which is responsible for specific mRNA codon recognition, and the 3' end, to which the tRNAs corresponding amino acid is attached (by aminoacyl-tRNA synthetases). tRNAs cope with the degeneracy of the genetic code in two manners: having more than one tRNA (with a specific anti-codon) for a particular amino acid; and 'wobble' base-pairing, i.e. permitting non-standard base-pairing at the 3rd anti-codon position.
Source: RNAcentral